This is an RNA transcript of Marmota monax (woodchuck), 3648 nucleotides long. It is a transcript of the gene named SUMO peptidase family member, NEDD8 specific, with no coding region annotated. The transcript is spliced from 2 exons. The record is from RefSeq and is a predicted model, not a curated record. NCBI's taxonomy places the organism in Eukaryota, Metazoa, Chordata, Mammalia, Rodentia, Sciuridae.
CAGUUACAUUCUGCCUCCACUAGAGAGGAAUGUCGCAAGGGUGGGGAAAGAAACUCUGGGUUUGCGACCUUAGCUCUCGCUUUCCGGCCAAUACUGAGGUGCUUGAAGGCUGGUUGGGGUGGUGAGGCCUGAGGCAGUUUUCGGCAGACACAACAUCUUUGUUUGUAUGUGGUGCUGAGGAUCGAACCCGGACUGCACGCAUGCCAGAGGAGCACGCUACCGCUUGAGCCACAUCUCCAGCCCCCGUUUUUUAUUUUUUGAGACAGGAUCUCACUAAGUUUCUGAAGCUGGCCUUGAACUUGUGAUCCUGCCUCAGCCUCCUGAGUUGCUGGUAUUACAAGUAUGCACCAUUGCAACUGUCCACAUGUGGCUAUUUAAAUUUUUAAUUUUAAUUAAAUAAAAUAAUUAGGUUCCUCAGUCACACUGAUCACCUUUUUAAGUACUCAGUAGCCACAUGUGGCUAGUUACUACAGUAUUGAACAUUGCAGAUAAAGAACAGUUCCAUUUUCACAGGAAGUCCUCUUGAACAGCACUGCUAUAGUGUUCCGUGGAACUCACUGAAAACACUAGAGCAAUCCAUAAUUUCUCCCAUUGAUUUGUAAUGGCUCCACCAAUAUAUUUUAAAUUUCUGACAUAUGCAUUGGUUUGUUUUGAUUCUUUCCUACAUUGGUUUGUUUUUAUAUUGCUCCUUGAUUUAUCUUUUUUCUGUUCCAAUAUCACAUAGCUAAUUGUGAGUCAAACUCCUAACAGAAACGAAGAAUUCUUACAUAGAGUAUAAAGUUAGAUUUGAAGGAAUAGUAAAGAUUGUUAUACUUCUAAAUUUCUGUAAAUGUAAACAUUUGUUAGAAUUUGAUUCAUAAUAUUGAGAUCCAUACUCCAUUAUUUAUUCAUUGAUCCUACAAUUAUUUACUGACAAGUGCCUGACAAGCAUUCAGGUCCUAGAGUUAGAAUGGCAGACAAGGUCCCUUGUUCCCUUAUUUUAAUGGAACUUUCACUCUUGCUUUAGAGAGGGAGGGAAAAAGAGAAAGGGGUAGAGUAUAUUCAACAAGCAAAUAUAUGUAUACAUACAUAUUUUUUAAACUAUUUAGUCACAAAUACUGUACAAGGAAUUGAAAUUAGAGUGAUAGAGAAGUAACUGGUGGUCUCCAGAGUAGACCUCUGUGAAUAAGUAGCAUUUAAACAGAUCUAAAACCAAAAAAAAAAAAAAAAAAACAGGUCUAAAACCAAGAGCAGUGAUCUUUGUGCCUGUAAUCCCAGCUACUCAGGAGGCUGAGGCAGGAAGAUUGUGAGUUCCAGACUAGCCUUAGCAACUUAGUGAGACCCCCUCUCUAAAAUAAAAAACAAAAUAAAAUAAACUGAGAUAUACCCAAUAGAAGUUGCCAGACACUAGAAAUUCCAGGCAUAGCUAGUAUACCAGCUCUCUGGUGGGAAAAAGCAUGGUACAGCAUGUUUAAGGAAUAAAAAUAUGGAUGUAACUAGGGUUAUAUGUGAUCAUAAAGAAGAGUAAUGGUAGAUGACACUGGGAAAGUAGCUUGUUACAUGGGGUAUAUAGGGUUUUGUAAGCUAGAAUAGGAAAUUUGUUCCCCCUCCUUCCCCUGCCAUAUUGUAGGGAGCUAAUACAAGGUCUUAAACUGGAGAUAAACAUGACCUAACUUAAAAUUUUAAACAAUUGUUCUGACAGCUAUAUGGAGAAUUUCCUGGAUAAUGAGUAGAGAUGAGACUUGUUAGGCUAGGUCAGACAAGAAAUGAUCAAUUUGACUAAGCCAAUAGUAGUAAAAAUGGAAUAUACUGGACAAAUUCAGAACAUUUUAGCUAUAGAAUCAACAGGAUUUGUUAUCAAUUGGAUAAAGGUAUGAAGAGAAUAGAAAACUCAAGGAUGAUGUUUAUAUUUUGCUAGGUUGUUUCCAGGCUGAUUGUUACAUGCAAAAUUGCAACCAUGAAACUACUGAAUAGGGCUGGAGUUGUAGUUUAGUGGUAGAGCACCUUGUCUAAUACAUGUGAGGCCCUGGAUUAGAUCCUCAGCAGCAUAUAAAAAUAAAUUUAAAAAAUAAAGAUAUUGUGUCCAUCUACAAAAAAAAUUUAAAAGAUACCACUAAAUAUACUUUGAAUAAAUUUGCUUAAGUAAAUAUAUUUCAUACACAUUUAAGCUGCAGAAGCAAAAGCUUGUACUCAUGCCUUGAUUUAAUUAUUAGGAAUCUGAUUCCUAAGAAUUAGGGGUUUAUAUUACAUCAAUUGUGGACAAAAAUUGGACUGUUCCACUAAGUAUCCAAGAUAGCAGAAGAGAGUGAAUUGAGAAAAUUACCUGCCAUAGGUGCAGAAGUUCUAUGGGAAUCUCUUAUUUUUUUUUUUCAAUUCAUGUUGAUUUUGCAUGUUAUUCUACAAUAGGUGCAUGUUUAUGUUAAUAAUUAGAAUGUUUUAAAUUACUCACUAAAAUAUUUUGUCAAUAAUUAAGUUGUUUAGCCCUUGGCCCCUCAAACUGGUGAAAUUUAACCUCUAGGAAGAUGCACUGUGGUUAUUCUAUUUCUUGAUGGUGGUUUGUUUGUUGAUAUCUGCUAGCACAUAGUCACACAUCCACUUAGAGAAGCACAGACCACAUUUGUGAGCAUUUGCAGUUUGAUAUAACUUGAAACAAUAACCAAGGAAGUAAAAGAAUUACAUUUAGAAACUACUAAAAGCCUUUAUAAUCUUCACUUAAAAUGAGUAGAAACACCGCACCCUGUGUUAAAAUAUACCAAAUGAAGCUGUUCCAUGUGUUUUUAAGGGACAUUUGAGAAUAAUUAUGGGGAAAAAUGAAUGAAGGUUAUAGUUCUCAGUAUGUUUUUGUUUGUUUGUUUGUUUGUUUUGGUACUGGGGAUUGAACUCAGGGCCUUGUGCAUGUGAGGCAAGCAGUCUACCAACUGAGCUAUACCCCCAACCCCUCAGUAUGUUUUCUGUUGGGCUUUACAGUAAAAUAGACUUAUCUGGAUUUUACUACUUUAUUCAACAACCAACAAGCAGAUUUCCCCAGAAGUUAUGAAAACUGUUGUAGACCUUAUGAAAUGCUUGUUAAUGUAAGACCCUGAUAAAUUUUUGAUAUUAUAAAAUAUUUAUGUAUAUAUCUACAAAAUAGUUCUUUUUUUAUAUCCACUGUAAUUAGUAUUUUUAACAUUUCUAUUCAUAAAACUCCAGAUUGAAAUAACAGUGCUGAGCGCAGUGAGCCACACCUGCAAUCCCAGAAACUUGGAGAGGCAGAGGCAAGAGAGUAACAAGUUCAAGAGCAGACUCAGCAAAUUAGCGAGGCCCUAAGCAACUUAGUGAGACCCUGUCUCAAAAUAAAAAAGGACUAGGGGUGUAGCUCAGUGGUAAAGCAUCCCUAGGUUCUAUCCCUAGUACCCCACCCCCCAAAAAAAAGUAGCAGCAGCAAGAAAUAAUAGUAGCCUCUCUAGUUAAAGGUUACUUAAUCUCCCCCAAAUAGCCCCCAAUGCACUAUUAGUUCUUUGAAGUAACUUAAAAGCAAUUCAACUUAGAAGUUUACAAUAGAUUGCAUAACAGUAGUAUAGAAUAAGAAGCCAAGCACUAAAAAUUUUAGACUUUAUAGGCUACUUAUCUUUGUCCUGAUGGCUCAAGAGUAGUCAAAGGCAAUAUGUAAACAAAUGAUGAUUUUUUUUU